GCAAACUUGGUCAUUUAGAGGAAGUAAAAGUCGUAACAAGGUAACCGUAGGUGAACCUGCGGUUGGAUCAUUACCAAUUAUUCAAUUAUUCUCAUAUUGCUUGGCUGUUUGGGGAGAGAAAUUCUUCAUUCAGUCAAGUCAAUCUAUGAGAAAAACACUUUGUGAACCAAGUAAUUGUUUUUUUGGUGGUUUUUAAGCCUUUAGAUUUCUAAAGGUUUUCACUCUAGUUAUUUGCUGGAGUGAGGCCACCAAAGGAUUAUUAAACAAACUUUUAUUAUUACUUUUUUUCUUCUAUCUUUUUUUAUUCAAUUCUUGAAGACUCUUUUGUAUUUUCAAAAGGGAAUUUAAAGAAGUGAAUCAAAAAUAAUAGCUAAUAGAAAAAACAACUUUUAACAACGGAUCUCUUGGCUCUCGCAUCGAUGAAGAACGCAGC
RNAcentral lists this unclassified non-coding RNA (433 nucleotides) under uncultured fungus. Its description in RNAcentral is "partial contains small subunit ribosomal RNA, internal transcribed spacer 1, and 5.8S ribosomal RNA". The stretch from base 1 to 73 matches the Rfam family "Eukaryotic small subunit ribosomal RNA", at positions 1759 to 1831 of the family's 1831-position model. The record is from RNAcentral. Lineage: Eukaryota; Fungi.